CCCAUGUUGUUGAAACGAUGGUUGAUUGCUAUUCGGAGGAGCGACGAAUCAAACCAAGGCAAGAUGUGGAAACUGUCACCUCACAGUGUUGUGUGUCAUUCCCACUUCAGACCGUCUGAUUUCAUUGCUGUAACUAGUUAUGGUGCUUGUUUUCCACAGAGAUGAGGCACAGAUGAUUCAAGAAUACAGGGUGUACACCUCUGAGGAAACAGAGAAAACCAGAUGCUGUACCAUCAAUCUUUCCCUGGACUGCAUCAGCCAACGCACUUGAGGCCGAUGGGGGAUUACGGAAAUCCCGCAUUGAAAGACGUGAGAGCCAAAA
Long non-coding RNA from Haliotis rufescens (red abalone), 322 nucleotides. RefSeq lists it as uncharacterized. The transcript has 3 exons. Lineage: Eukaryota; Metazoa; Mollusca; Gastropoda; Lepetellida; Haliotidae. The record is from RefSeq and is a predicted model, not a curated record.